GACGAACGCUGGCGGCGUGCCUAAUACAUGCAAGUAGAACGCUGAAGGAGUAGCUUGCUUCUCUGGAUGAUUUGCGAACGGGUGAGUAACGCGUAUGUAACCUUCCUUUUAGCGGGGUAUAACUUUUGGAAACGAUAGCUAAUACCUCAUAAUAUCAUUUGUUGCAUUACAACUGUUUGAAAGUUUCAAUUUCACCACUACCAGAUGGACCUGCGUUUUUUUGGCUAGUUGUUGUGGUAACGGCUCAACAAGGCGAAGAUACAUAUCCGACAUGAUAGGGUGAACGGCAAAAAUGGGAAGGGGAAAAGGACAAGAAUAAUACGGGAGGCAGCAGUAGGGAAACAUCGGAAAUGGAAGGAAGUCUGAACGAGAAAAGCGGAGUGAGUGAAGAAGGUGUGCGGAUCGUAAAGCUCGGUUGUAAGAGAAGAACGAGUGGGAGAGUGGAAAGUUCACAGUGUGACGGUAUCUGAACAGAAAGGGACGGCUAACUACGUG
Molecule: ribosomal RNA, 495 nt
Filed under: uncultured bacterium
Lineage: Bacteria
Description: partial 16S ribosomal RNA
Rfam family: Bacterial small subunit ribosomal RNA
Source: RNAcentral